This 465-nucleotide ribosomal RNA is filed under the name uncultured bacterium. Its description in RNAcentral is "partial 16S ribosomal RNA". It matches the Rfam family "Bacterial small subunit ribosomal RNA", at positions 28 to 507 of the family's 1533-position model. The record is from RNAcentral.
GACGAACGCUGGCGGCGUGCCUAACACAUGCAAGUCGAACGGAAAGGCGCGUUCGGGGGUCCUCGUGUGGCGGACGGGUGAGUAACACGUGCGUAACCUUCCCUUGACUUGUGGAUAACGACAGGAAACUGGGGCGAAUACCAGUAAGGAAUCCUUGCGGCAGGGAGGGGGUUGGUAAGCUUGGGCGGUUUUUGAUGGACUAGCGGCUGAUCAGCUGGUUGGUUGGGUAGUGGCUUACCAAGGCGUUGACGGGUCGCCGGCCCGAGAGGGGGACCGGGCACAAUGGGCCUGCGAGAGGGCGCAGACGCCUACGGGCGGCAGUAGGGGGGAAUCUUGCCGAAUGGGCGGAAGCCAGAUGCGGAAGCGCUGCGUGCGGGAUGACGGCCUUCGGGUUGUAAACCGGUUUCAGCAGGGGAGAAGCUUGUGGUGACGGUACCUUAAGAAGAAGCACCGGCUAACUACGUG